CCAAUGUGGAAACGUAAAUCAUAUAUGGAGGGUUUCCGCCAUAAAUUUGAAUAUGAAAACGACAGAUCAGAGUUACAUGUGCACGGCUACUGUAACAGUAUAACUUUAAACCAUCCCCUCGCCCCGACACGGGCGCGAACCAAGGACCCUCUGCACACAUCAACAACGGUCGCCCACGAAGCAAGGUGCAACCCUACUUCUAGGUUUCAGAGCAACUGAUUGAAACGCUAGUAGCGCGUACCCGCUAACUAGCUAGCCAUUUCACAUCGUUACACUCAUCCCCCUUUCAACCUCCUCCUUUUCCGCAGCAACCAGUGAUCCGGGUCAACAUGUAACAGUAUAACUUUAAACCGUCCCCUCGCCCCAACACGGGCGCGAACCAGGGACCAUCUGCACACAUCAACAACAGUCACCCACGAAGCAGUGUUACCCAUUGCUCCACAAAGGCCGCGGCCCUUGCAGAGCAAGGGGCAACCCUAAUGUCUCAGAGCAAGUGACGUAACUGAUUGAAAUGCUACUAGCGCGUACCCGCUAACUAGCUAGCCAUUUCACAUCCGUUACACUAUGUCUGUUUAUUAUAGGCUUAAUGCCAAUCAUCUAUUGUGAUUACUGUAAUUUGACAUUUAUACAGUAGUAAUGUAGGCCAACAUGUACUUUUAUCAUGAUGCUAAAGCAAAUUAAAGAUGGCAGACUAUCAAAAAGUGGAGGUGGGUGGAAUUUUCAUUGGAGGUCAAUUUGAACAGACUCAUUUCUGUAGGAAAGAUAAUUAGGCCUUGAAAUAUACUGAUGUGUUAUAAUUAUUUUCAUGGUGUGGUUUUCAUAUAAGCCCUUGGGCUUCCAACAACACCUGCAAACUGCUUCUUUUUUUAAUAAUAUAUAUAUAUAUUUUUUUACAUCUGUAUUGUUGUCUAUUCUCUGGCGCAUUCUCUUUGGUGCAAAAAAAAAGAAAAAAGGGAACAUGUAGAUUAUUGGUCCCAUAUUUCAUGAACUGAAAUAAAAUAUCCCAGAACCUUUC
Long non-coding RNA from Salvelinus fontinalis (brook trout), 1015 nucleotides. RefSeq lists it as uncharacterized. The record is from RefSeq and is a predicted model, not a curated record. NCBI's taxonomy places the organism in Eukaryota, Metazoa, Chordata, Actinopteri, Salmoniformes, Salmonidae. The transcript is spliced from 2 exons.